Brassica napus (rape) is the source of this 1830-nucleotide long non-coding RNA. RefSeq lists it as uncharacterized. The record is from RefSeq and is a predicted model, not a curated record. The transcript has 6 exons. Lineage: Eukaryota; Viridiplantae; Streptophyta; Magnoliopsida; Brassicales; Brassicaceae.
UAUUUACGGUUUUGUUACAGGGCCAGAGCUAUUUAUUUUCUAACUUAUUUAUACAUCGUUUUAGGCUAAUGUGGUUUUUUAAAUUGGGCUUAUUUUGUAGAUUAGCUCGUGGUUUUGUAAAUUGGGAUUAUUUUGUAGAUUAGCUCUGGCCCACUCUGGUGGUGUCUUCUCCAAAACGCUUGCUACAAAGAAAUUCAGACAGUCGCCACCGACUAGCAGCAACCGUUUUCCCUUCCAUCAAUGAAGAUCUCAGUGUUAGGCACCUGUCCACUCGAUUCAUGAAUCAUCAUUAACACUUAUUUUCCACUCAUGACACGAUCUCUCAUUCAAUGAAUGAAUUUUCUCUCAUUCAUCUCUGUGGAUCCAUUACUACAAAUAUCGAUUAGAAUGGCUCCAGUCUGCUACUCGGUGAUUUGAAGGCCGGCUGUUGUAGCUCCACCGUUGUAGUGCGUCUCAUGAGAUUCUGGGAGGCUCGCAACGUUAAGAAAGCCAACAAGCUUAUGGUGUUGAUAUGCUCUUCCUCAAACAAAGAAAUUUUCCAGGGAACAAAAACAUGAGGACCUUCCAGUUUCAUGAGAGUUUAUAUUUUCUGAUUUCAUAAGAGUUCUGAAACUUUAAUUUUCCGCCUUUUUCAUACAACUCUCAUGCAGGUCUCAUCAUUUACAUGUAUCGGUUGUGAUGAUACAAACGCAGUCGGUGUUCUUAGGUUGACAUUAUUUUCAUUCCGUUCAUAUUAUCAAGCAUCACCAAAGUUCUACCUUCUCCCAGUUGAACUUACAACUUAUAUGGAUCCGUCUACGUCUUCCAGAUACCGUGUGGAUCCUGCUAUCGCAGAUAAGACUGACGAAGUUUGCAGAUUUGAGCCACGAAGAAUUCAAGAACACGUAUUUGAGGCUCAAUACUGAUACACGAAGAGGCGAUGAUGAAAGAUCGUAUGAAGAGUACGCUUAUAAGGACGUUGAUGUCGAGGCUUUGCCUAAAUCUGUUGAUUAGAGAAUGAAAGGAGCCGUGUGCUAUGUCAAGAACCAAGGCUCUUGCAUUAUUCGGCGUUUUCGACAGUUGCUGCAGUGGAAGCUAUAAACAAGAUUGUGACAGGAAACUUGACAAAAUUGUCUGAGCAAUAACUCAUAGACUGUGAGUCUGUGACACGACUUACAGCAAUGGCUGAAACGGCUGUCUCAUGGAUUAUGCUUUUGAGUAGGCUGUCGAGAACAGAGGUCUUCGCAAGGAAGAGGAUUAUCCUUAUUCCAUGGAAGAAGGAACUUGCUAGACGCAAAGGUUUUUGUGUAACUGCGAAAAAGGAAUAAAUUGGUCAUAAUAAUUCUCUUUGCUUUUAAACAGGAUGAAUCUGAAAUGGUAACUAUCAGUGGGCACCAAGAUGUACAUAUAAAUGAUGAGAAAUGUCUCUUGAAGGCAUUGGCUCAUCAACCUCUCAGAGUGGCUAUUGAUGCCUCUGCUAGAGAGUUUCAGUUCUAUAGCGGUGAUGUCUUUGAUGGGCGGUGUGGGGUCGAUUUGGACCAUGGUGUUGCUGCAGUUGGGUAUGGAUCAAGCAAGGGUUCAGAUUAUAUCAUUGUGAAAAAUUAUUGGGGACCAAGAUGGGGAGAGAAAAUUUACAUCAGGGUGAAGAGGAACUCUGGAAAACCCGAGGGUCUCAAUCAAUAAGAUGGCUUCUUUCCCCACUAAAACGGAGUGAUGAUAUCAUUUUAUCUUAUUUGCAUUUGAUUAUUAUCUUCAUAACAACAUGAAUGUUGUCAUGAAAUUGUUAUUUUACUGAAUAUAAACGUUGUAACAACUAUGAGAAAUAACAACAAAAAAAGAUGAUUCAAACUA